Molecule: ribosomal RNA, 352 nt
Filed under: Trichomonas vaginalis G3
Lineage: Eukaryota; Parabasalia; Trichomonadida; Trichomonadidae
Description: 5.8S ribosomal RNA
Rfam family: Eukaryotic small subunit ribosomal RNA (bases 1-137)
Source: RNAcentral
GCCCGUCGCUCCUACCGAUUGGAUGACUCGGUGAAAUCACCGGAUGCUUACGAGCAGAAAGUGAUUAAAUCACGUUAUCUAGAGGAAGGAGAAGUCGUAACAAGGUAACGGUAGGUGAACCUGCCGUUGGAUCAGUUCUAGUUUUAAUAACUAACACCAACUUCUUUUAUUAAACAAAAACCAAUACAAAAUUAAAAACUAACUUCAUCAAAAACCAAGUCUCUAAGCAAUGGAUGUCUUGGCUCCUCACACGAUGAAGAACGUGGCAUAAUGUGUUAAGUAACCGGAGUUGCAAACAUCAUGACAGGUUAAUCUUUGAAUGCAAAUUGCGCUAAACUCGAUCUCGGUCGAG